This 498-nucleotide ribosomal RNA is filed under the name uncultured Gammaproteobacteria bacterium. RNAcentral describes it as "bacterial SSU rRNA". It matches the Rfam family "Bacterial small subunit ribosomal RNA", at positions 335 to 825 of the family's 1533-position model. Lineage: Bacteria; Pseudomonadati; Pseudomonadota; Gammaproteobacteria. The record is from RNAcentral.
ACUCCUACGGGAGGCAGCAGUGGGGAAUAUUGGACAAUGGGGGCAACCCUGAUCCAGCGAUGCCGCGUGUGUGAAGAAGGCCUGAGGGUUGUAAAGCACUUUAGUCGGGGAGGAAAGGUAGCAGGUUAAGAGCUAGUUACUAUGACGUUACCCGAAGAAUAAGCACCGGCUAACUCUGUGCCAGCAGCCGCGGUAAUACAGAGGGUGCGAGCGUUAAUCGGAAUUACUGGGCGUAAAGGGCGCGUAGGCGGUUAUGUAAGUUGGAUGUGAAAGGCCUGGGCUUAACCUGGGUAUUGCAUACGAUACUGCAUGGCUAGAAUACGAGAGAGGUAAGUGGAAUUUCCGGUGUAGCGGUGAAAUGCGUAGAUAUCGGGAGGAACAUCAGUGGCGAAGGCGACUUACUGGCUUGAUAUUGACGCUGAGGCGCGAAGGCGUGGGUAGCGAACAGGAUUAGAGACCCUGGUAGUCCACGCGGUAAACGAUGAGAACUAGCUGUUG